CCUACGGGAGGCAGCAGUAGGGAAUCUUCCNCAAUGGACGAAAGUCUGACGGAGCAACGCCGCGUGAGUGAUGAAGGUUUUCGGAUCGUAAAGCUCUGUUGUUAGGGAAGAACAAGUACCGUUCGAAUAGGGCGGUACAUUGACGUACCUAACCAGAAAGCCACGCUU
RNAcentral lists this ribosomal RNA (168 nucleotides) under Bacillus sp. F1(2003b). RNAcentral's name for it is "partial 16S ribosomal RNA". It matches the Rfam family "Bacterial small subunit ribosomal RNA", at positions 338 to 498 of the family's 1533-position model. The record is from RNAcentral. Lineage: Bacteria; Bacillati; Bacillota; Bacilli; Caryophanales; Bacillaceae.